RNAcentral lists this transfer RNA (71 nucleotides) under Sphaerodactylus townsendi. RNAcentral describes it as "tRNA-Ala". Lineage: Eukaryota; Metazoa; Chordata; Lepidosauria; Squamata; Sphaerodactylidae. The record is from RNAcentral.
GGUCAGUGACUCAGUGGUGGAGCCUCUGCUUUGCAUGCAGAAGGUCCUGGGUUCGAUCCCCAUCAUCUCCA